GUCUACGGCCAUGCCACCCUGAACAAGCCCGAUGUCUGAUCUCGGAAGCUAAGCAGGGUUGGGCCUGGUUAGUACUUGGAUGGGAGACCACCUAGGAAGACCAGGUGCUGUAGGCA
RNAcentral lists this ribosomal RNA (116 nucleotides) under Pteropus alecto (black flying fox). Lineage: Eukaryota; Metazoa; Chordata; Mammalia; Chiroptera; Pteropodidae. The record is from RNAcentral.